Molecule: ribosomal RNA, 517 nt
Filed under: uncultured bacterium
Lineage: Bacteria
Description: bacterial SSU rRNA
Rfam family: Bacterial small subunit ribosomal RNA
Source: RNAcentral
AUCUGGCUCAGAACGAACGCUGGCGGCGCGUCUUAAGCAUGCAAGUCGAGCGGUAAGAUUGGUGCUGCACUAAUCCUAGAGCGGCGGACUGGUGAGUAACGCGUGGGUGACGUACCUUCGUGACGGGGACAGCUCCUAGAAAUAGGAGAUAAUACCGGAUACGCUGUAUGUUGUCAGAGGACAUACAGGAAAGGAUCUUUUGAUUCGCACGGAGAGCGGCCCGCGUACUAUUAGCUAGUUGGUGAGGUAACGGCCCACCAAGGCAACGAUAGUUACCCGGCCUAAGAGGGUGAUCGGGCACAUUGGGACUGAGAUACGGCCCAGACUCCUACGGGAGGCAGCAGCUAAGAAUAUUCCGCAAUGGACGAAAGUCUGACGGAGCGACGCCGCGUGGAUGAUUGAAGGCCGGAAGGUUGUAAAAUCCUUUUAUGACUGAGGAAUAAGGAAGUUGAGAGAAACGGCUUCUGGUGACUGUAGGUCAUGAAUAAGCAACGGCUAAUUACGUGCCAGCAGCGGC